UUCGAUUAGAGUUUGAUCAUGGCUCAGAACGUACGCUGGCGGCACGCCUAACACAUGCAAGUCGAACGAAGUAGCAAUACUUAGUGGCAGACGGGUGAGUAACAUGUAGGUAUCUGCCCUUUGGCCUGGAAUAACACGAGGAAACUUGUGCUAAUACCGGAUAAGUCUUUACGGAGAAAGCUUUAUGCACCAUUGGAUGAGCCUGCACUUGAUUAGUUUGUUGGUGGGGUAAUGGCCUACCAAGACUGUGAUCAAUAGCUGAUUUGAGAGGAUGAUCAGCCACAUUGGGACUGAGACACGGCCCAAACUCCUACGGGAGGCAGCAGUGGGGAAUCUUGCACAAUGGAGGAAACUCUGAUGCAGCGAUGCCGCGUGAGUGAAAAGGCCUUUGGGUUGUAAAGCUCUUUCGUCGGGGAAGAAAAUGACUGUACCCGAAUAAGAAGGUCCGGCUAACUUCGUGCCAGCAGCCGCGGUAAUACGAAGGGACCUAGCGUAGUUCGGAAUUACUGGGCUUAAAGAGUUCGUAGGUGGUUGAAAAAGUUGGUGGUGAAAUCCCAGAGCUUAACUCUGGAACUGCCAUCAAAACUUUUCAGCUAGAGUUUGAUAGAGGAAAGCAGAAUUUCUAGUGUAGAGGUGAAAUUCGUAGAUAUUAGAAAGAAUACCAAUUGCGAAGGCAGCUUUCUGGAUCAAUACUGACACUGAGGAACGAAAGCAUGGGUAGCGAAGAGGAUUAGAUACCCUCGUAGUCCAUGCCGUAAACGAUGUGUGUUAGACGUUGGAAAUUUAUUUUCAGUGUCGCAGCGAAAGCGAUAAACACACCGCCUGGGGAGUACGACCGCAAGGUUAAAACUCAAAUGAAUUGACGGGGACCCGCACAAGUAGUGGAGCAUGUGGUUUAAUUCGAAGAUACGCGCAGAACCUUACCAACACUUGACAUGUUCGUCGCGACUUUAAGAGAUUAAAGUUUUCGGUUCGGCCGGACGAAACACAGGUGCUGCAUGGCUGUCGUCAGCUCGUGUCGUGAGAUGUUGGGUUAAGUCCCGCAACGAGCGCAACCCUCACUUUUAGUUGCCAUCAUUAAGUUGGGCACUCUGAAAGAACUGCCAGUGAUAAGCUGGAGGAAGGUGGGGAUGACGUCAAGUCCUCAUGGCCCUUACGUGUUGGGCUACACACGUGCUACAAUGGUAUCUACAACAGGAAGCAAGACGGCGACGUUAAGCAAAUCCUUAAAAGAUACCUCAGUUCGGAUUGCACUCUGCAACUCGAGUGCAUGAAGCUGGAAUUACUAGUAAUCGUGGAUCAGCGUGCCACGAGAGGUGCGUUCCCGGGUCUUGUAGAUACCGCCC
Molecule: ribosomal RNA, 1346 nt
Filed under: uncultured bacterium
Lineage: Bacteria
Description: bacterial SSU rRNA
Rfam family: Bacterial small subunit ribosomal RNA
Source: RNAcentral